GGUUGUGGCUCAGCAGUAGAGCACUGGCCCAGCAAGUGUGAGGCACUUGGUUCGAUCCCCAGGACCA
Molecule: transfer RNA, 67 nt
Filed under: Marmota monax (woodchuck)
Lineage: Eukaryota; Metazoa; Chordata; Mammalia; Rodentia; Sciuridae
Description: tRNA.Ala
Source: RNAcentral